UGGGGCAUCAGCAGGAACUGGCUUCGUGCAUUUGGAGGGGCUCUUAUCUGUGUGCAUCUAGCAAGCGUGGUCUGGUUCUGGAGCCGACAACUCCGUAGUGGAGCAGAAAUGUGAGUUCCCGCAUUUCUAUGCUGGGGGAGGUAGCAGCUUCUCCAGCGGGUCAGUUCUGUGGCUUCAGAACUGGGGGGAGCUGGUGGGGGGGCGCUGAUGGAAUCGGCUUCCUUUUCCUUCCCAUCAGAGAGCACCCAGCUGUCUUCCCCUGGGGUGGGUCUGUCUCCUUGAGCCUCUCAGAGUGGGAACCAACCCAAUCUGAAAUCAGAUGCACAAGAAGGUCGCAGCACCAGACCUAGCCUCCCAACAUUUAGAAAGUACAGGUUGCGGGGGCAUCUGGGGGGGCUCAGUCGGUCGAGCAUCCGACUCUUGAUUUCGGCUCAGAUCGUGAUCUGGGGGUUGUGGGAUCUGAGCUGCGCGUGGAGCCUGCUCAGGGUGCUCUCCCUCCUCCCCCUGCUCCUUCUCUGCUCUCUCUUUGUCUCUCUAAAAUAAAAGAAAAAGAAAAUAAGAUGCAUGAGCCUUUCCCACGUGAAAGCAAUUUUCUCACGUUCCUGUUUCCGUCACAGCCCACAGAAGGGUAGGAGGGAAAUACAAAUUCAAGUGACACAACACUGUUUGUUUCAAUAAACAGGUCAAGCAGCGUUAUGAUGUUCCUUUUUUUUUUUUUUCUAGCUCCACGAGGGUGGCCGAAGAGAGACGUGACAAUGAAAAUUCCCAAGUCUUUGCACCUUUCAGGAAAAGAGAGCGUCGGCGUAGGUCGUACUAGCAAGGGCAGCAGGUCAUUAGUUAAGACAACCAGUCCAGAGUUGGGAGGUCUUAGGGACUAACGUGUGGUCCCUGCCCCCCCAUUCCUAUGUUGAACCCCCAAAUUCCAAUGCGACCAUACUGAAGACAGGACCUUGAAAGAGGCGAUUAAUGUUAACUGGGGUCGUAAGGGUGGAGCCCUAAUCCGAUAGGACUGGAGCCCUCGUAAGAAGACCAGACGACACCAGGGAUAUGUGCACACGGGGCAAAGGCCGUGUGAGGACGUAGCGCGAUGUUGCCUAUCUACCAGCCAAAGAGGGGCUUCAGGAGAGACCAACGCUGCCAGUACUGACCUUGGACUUCCAGCCUGAGAAAAAAGAUUUCUGA
This 1182-nucleotide long non-coding RNA is filed under the name Lynx pardinus (Iberian lynx). Lineage: Eukaryota; Metazoa; Chordata; Mammalia; Carnivora; Felidae. The record is from RNAcentral.